CCCUUAGAUGUCCUGGGCCGCACGCGCGUUACACUGAUGCAUUCAACGAGCUUAUAACCUUGGCCGAGAGGCCUGGGCAAUCUUGUUAACGUGCAUCGUGAUAGGGAUAGAUUAUUGAAAUUAUUAAUCUUGAACGAGGAAUUCCUAGUAAACGCAUUUCAUCAAAAUGCAUUGAUUACGUCCCUGCCCUUUGUACACACCGCCCGUCGCACCUACCGAUUGAGUGGUCCGGUGAAGUCUCGAGAUUGUGGCAAUCUCCUUUAUUGGAGUUUGACCGCGAGAACUUGCCUAAACCUUAUCACUUAGAGGAAGGUGAAGUCGUAACA
Molecule: ribosomal RNA, 326 nt
Filed under: uncultured eukaryote
Lineage: Eukaryota
Description: partial 18S ribosomal RNA
Rfam family: Eukaryotic small subunit ribosomal RNA
Source: RNAcentral